Molecule: ribosomal RNA, 593 nt
Filed under: Escherichia coli
Lineage: Bacteria; Pseudomonadati; Pseudomonadota; Gammaproteobacteria; Enterobacterales; Enterobacteriaceae
Also listed under: 1 other name
Description: partial 23S ribosomal RNA
Rfam family: Bacterial large subunit ribosomal RNA
Source: RNAcentral
CGUACCUUUUGUAUAAUGGGUCAGCGACUUAUAUUCUGUAGCAAGGUUAACCGAAUAGGGGAGCCGAAGGGAAACCGAGUCUUAACUGGGCGUUAAGUUGCAGGGUAUAGACCCGAAACCCGGUGAUCUAGCCAUGGGCAGGUUGAAGGUUGGGUAACACUAACUGGAGGACCGAACCGACUAAUGUUGAAAAAUUAGCGGAUGACUUGUGGCUGGGGGUGAAAGGCCAAUCAAACCGGGAGAUAGCUGGUUCUCCCCGAAAGCUAUUUAGGUAGCGCCUCGUGAAUUCAUCUCCGGGGGUAGAGCACUGUUUCGGCAAGGGGGUCAUCCCGACUUACCAACCCGAUGCAAACUGCGAAUACCGGAGAAUGUUAUCACGGGAGACACACGGCGGGUGCUAACGUCCGUCGUGAAGAGGGAAACAACCCAGACCGCCAGCUAAGGUCCCAAAGUCAUGGUUAAGUGGGAAACGAUGUGGGAAGGCCCAGACAGCCAGGAUGUUGGCUUAGAAGCAGCCAUCAUUUAAAGAAAGCGUAAUAGCUCACUGGUCGAGUCGGCCUGCGCGGAAGAUGUAACGGGGCUAAACCAUGCAC